Molecule: ribosomal RNA, 253 nt
Filed under: uncultured bacterium
Lineage: Bacteria
Description: partial 16S ribosomal RNA
Rfam family: Bacterial small subunit ribosomal RNA
Source: RNAcentral
UACAGAGGUCUCAAGCGUUGUUCGGAUUCAUUGGGCGUAAAGGGUGCGUAGGCGGCGCGGUAAGUCGGGUGUGAAAUCUUGGAGCUUAACUCCGAAACUGCAUUCGAUACUGCCGUGCUUGAGGACUGGAAAGGAGACUGGAAUUUACGGUGUAGCGGUGAAAUGCGUAGAGAUCGGGAGGAACACCCGUGGCGAAGGCGGCCAUCUGGACCAGCACUGACGCUGAGGCACGAAAGCGUGGGGAGCAAACAGG